UUGAUGAAUUUUUCUCGUUUUCCGUCUGACC
This 31-nucleotide non-coding RNA is filed under the name Mus musculus (house mouse). Lineage: Eukaryota; Metazoa; Chordata; Mammalia; Rodentia; Muridae. The record is from RNAcentral.